UACGGAGGAUCCAAGCGUUAUCCGGAUUUAUUGGGUUUAAAGGGUGCGUAGGCGGCCUAUUAAGUCAGGGGUGAAAGACGGUAGCUUAACUAUCGCAGUGCCCUUGAUACUGAUGGGCUUGAAUGUACUAGAGGUAGGCGGAAUGUGACAAGUAGCGGUGAAAUGCAUAGAUAUGUCACAGAACACCAAUUGCGAAGGCAGCUUACUAAACAAAUAUUGACGCUGAGGCACGAAAGCGUGGGGAUCAAACAGG
This 253-nucleotide ribosomal RNA is filed under the name uncultured bacterium. RNAcentral's name for it is "partial 16S ribosomal RNA". It matches the Rfam family "Bacterial small subunit ribosomal RNA", at positions 524 to 776 of the family's 1533-position model. The record is from RNAcentral.